GAUGAACGCUGGCGGCGUGCCUAAUACAUGCAAGUCGAGCGAACGGACGAGAAGCUUGCUUCUCUGAUGUUAGCGGCGGACGGGUGAGUAACACGUGGAUAACCUACCUAUAAGACUGGGAUAACUUCGGGAAACCGGAGCUAAUACCGGAUAAUAUUUUGAACCGCAUGGUUCAAAAGUAAAAGACGGUCUUGCUGUCACUUAUAGAUGGAUCCGCGCUGCAUUAGCUAGUUGGUAAGGUAACGGCUUACCAAGGCAACGAUGCAUAGCCGACCUGAGAGGGUGAUCGGCCAAACUGGAACUGGGACACGGUCCAGACGCCGACGGGAGGCAGAAGUAGGGAAUCUUCCGCAAUGGGCGAAAGCCUGACGGAGCAACGCCGCGUGAGUGAUGAAGGUCUUCGGAUCGUAAAACUCUGUUAUUAGGGAAGAACAUAUGUGUAAGUAACUGUGCACAGCUUGACGGUACCUAAUCAGAAAGCCACGGCUAACUACGGG
Molecule: ribosomal RNA, 497 nt
Filed under: uncultured bacterium
Lineage: Bacteria
Description: partial 16S ribosomal RNA
Rfam family: Bacterial small subunit ribosomal RNA
Source: RNAcentral